This 237-nucleotide ribosomal RNA is filed under the name uncultured bacterium. RNAcentral describes it as "partial 16S ribosomal RNA". It matches the Rfam family "Bacterial small subunit ribosomal RNA", at positions 524 to 758 of the family's 1533-position model. The record is from RNAcentral.
UACGGGGGGAGCAAGCGUUGUUCGGAUUUACUGGGCGUAAAGGGCGCGUAGGCGGUCGUGACAAGUCACUUGUGAAAUCUCCGGGCUUAACUCGGAACGGUCAAGUGAUACUGUCGGACUAGAGUACAGAAGGGGCAACUGGAAUUCUCGGUAUAGCGGUGAAAUGCGUAGAUAUCGAGAGGAACACCUGCGGCGAAGGCGGGUUGCUGGGCUGAUACUGACGCUGAGGCGACGAAA